Molecule: long non-coding RNA, 1012 nt
Filed under: Homo sapiens (human)
Lineage: Eukaryota; Metazoa; Chordata; Mammalia; Primates; Hominidae
Description: HSALNT0056405
Source: RNAcentral
AGGCAGGGCUGUGCGCGCCUCCCUAGGAUUGUUGGAAGAUGCACUCUCAUAAACACUCCCAACCCUUGGGUCAAAGGGCUACAGGACUACAAUCCCAGCAUGCACCAGGCUCCAGGGCGAGGGGCAACCCUGGAAGAAGGGGCAGAGUGGUACCCGCCCCACCUAAUAUGCUGGGAGCUGUAGUCCGUUAACUACUCUCAGCCUGUUUGUCGGUACAAUAGAGACCAGCACAGCUGCAGUUACUCACAGUGGGACUUCACACCAUCCAGGGCCAGAGAAAUUGCUCCCCUUACAGAAAGUCCCAAAUGGAGAGAGGACCAUCAGAGUGCUUGUUCUACUCUCAAUAAAUGAUCUAAUCCAAUAUAAGCAACAACUCUGAUGGCCCUCAGACAACUUCAGCGUAUUUACUGAAGGCUUCCAGGCUCUAACUUUGACCACCAUUCAACUGUACCAUCCACAAAUGGACCGAAUGACUGCUGCCAACUUAGCUGCACAAAAUUUUGCUUAUUAGCAAAAAAUAGAAAAUACUUAAAACGUUUGUUGCUUUCACCAUUUUAAUGCAAAAUACUUUUGCAGCAUAAAUGUCACCAUAAGGUGGAGCCUUGGGAAUCCAGUAUAAACUAUCUCAGAAAACCUCAAUGGGUCCGCAACAAGCAGCAGAGGGCCUCAAUAGACUUCAACAAUGUCUGGACUCCAUGGACACUGUAGUCCGACAAAAGCAAAGAGCCUGGGAUCUUCUCCCAGCCGGGCAAAGAGGAACAUGUUUAUAUCUAAAAGAAGAAUGCUGUUUUUGAGAUCAAUCAGCCCGGUUUAGUCCAAGAAAAUAUUAAUAAUAUCAUCACCCAGGCAGACAAAAUUGAAUCUCUAGGAACUUCCAUGGGACCAUGAAAGCAAUGUCUAUUACCUGCCUUACUCUCUUUAAUAGUAACAGCCAUUACUAUACUUUCAGCUUUUACUUUUGUUCCAAUUUUGUUUAAAAUGUUAACUGAUUUCUUGCUCUCUUGCUUACGGC